UCCCUGGUGGUCUAGUGGUUAGGAUUUGGCACUCUUACUGUCAUGGCCCAGGCUCGAUUCCUGGUCAGGGAA
This is a non-coding RNA of Protopterus annectens (West African lungfish), 72 nucleotides long. Lineage: Eukaryota; Metazoa; Chordata; Ceratodontiformes; Protopteridae. The record is from the annotation of a RefSeq genome assembly.